Molecule: ribosomal RNA, 253 nt
Filed under: uncultured bacterium
Lineage: Bacteria
Description: partial 16S ribosomal RNA
Rfam family: Bacterial small subunit ribosomal RNA
Source: RNAcentral
UACGAAGGGGGCUAGCGUUGCUCGGAAUUACUGGGCGUAAAGGGCGCGUAGGCGGACAGUUUAGUCGGGGGUGAAAGCCCGGGGCUCAACCCCGGAACUGCCUUCGAUACUGGCUGUCUUGAGUACGGGAGAGGUGUGUGGAACUCCGAGUGUAGAGGUGAAAUUCGUAGAUAUUGGGAAGAACACCGGUGGCGAAGGCGGCGACCUGGUCCUUGACUGACGCUGAGGCGCGAAAGCGUGGGGAGCAAACAGG